Long non-coding RNA from Triticum aestivum (bread wheat), 402 nucleotides. RefSeq lists it as uncharacterized. The transcript has 3 exons. Lineage: Eukaryota; Viridiplantae; Streptophyta; Magnoliopsida; Poales; Poaceae. The record is from RefSeq and is a predicted model, not a curated record.
GCGUAAAGGACGACGGGUGGUGGUAGUGCUAUGGGAGGAGCAGGUAGGGCUAUGGCGGCAUAAAGGUUGUGUAGAAAUCACUCAAGUCUGCUUUUUAUUGUGGAAGCUCGUUGUAUGUGUAAAAUUAUUUAUACUCUUGGUCCCGGCGCACGGAGCCUACAACACACCGAAUGUUCCUGCUGCUGCUUACCAAGCAGGAAAACACCAGAAUAAGUUCAACUUGGGGAAGAGCAUGAAGGUGAUGAACUCGCUCGGCGGCUUGUACCGUGUUUUGUGCUGGAGGAACAUAAAAAUCUCCGUUUCCUCGUUACUUUAUUCUGAUGGUUUAUUUGCCAUAUGUUAGAUUGGCGAGAGGUGGGGUACCAGAAAGAGGCGACGUUAAAAUCGGUGCCAGUGACGACG